RNAcentral lists this ribosomal RNA (638 nucleotides) under uncultured bacterium. RNAcentral's name for it is "bacterial SSU rRNA". It matches the Rfam family "Bacterial small subunit ribosomal RNA", at positions 58 to 669 of the family's 1533-position model. The record is from RNAcentral.
CUUGCCUAGAUGAUUUUAGUGCUUGCACUAAAUGAAACUAGAUACAAGCGAGCGGCGGACGGGUGAGUAACACGUGGGUAACCUGCCCAAGAGACUGGGAUAACACCUGGAAACAGAUGCUAAUACCGGAUAACAACACUAGACGCAUGUCUAGAGUUUGAAAGAUGGUUCUGCUAUCACUCUUGGAUGGACCUGCGGUGCAUUAGCUAGUUGGUAAGGUAACGGCUUACCAAGGCAAUGAUGCAUAGCCGAGUUGAGAGACUGAUCGGCCACAUUGGGACUGAGACACGGCCCAAACUCCUACGGGAGGCAGCAGUAGGGAAUCUUCCACAAUGGACGAAGGUCUGAUGGAGCAACGCCGCGUGAGUGAAGAAGGGUUUCGGCUCGUAAAGCUCUGUUGGUAGUGAAGAAAGAUAGAGGUAGUAACUGGCCUUUAUUUGACGGUAAUUACUUAGAAAGUCACGGCUAACUACGUGCCAGCAGCCGCGGUAAUACGUAGGUGGCAAGCGUUGUCCGGAUUUAUUGGGCGUAAAGCGAGUGCAGGCGGUUCAAUAAGUCUGAUGUGAAAGCCUUCGGCUCAACCGGAGAAUUGCAUCAGAAACUGUUGAACUUGAGUGCAGAAGAGGAGAGUGGAACUC